RNAcentral lists this ribosomal RNA (164 nucleotides) under Suaeda puertopenascoa. Its description in RNAcentral is "5.8S ribosomal RNA". It matches the Rfam family "5.8S ribosomal RNA". Rfam says of the family: 5.8S ribosomal RNA (5.8S rRNA) is a component of the large subunit of the eukaryotic ribosome. Lineage: Eukaryota; Viridiplantae; Streptophyta; Magnoliopsida; Caryophyllales; Amaranthaceae. The record is from RNAcentral.
UUAAUGACUCUCGGCAACGGAUAUCUCGGCUCUCGCAUCGAUGAAGAACGUAGCGAAAUGCGAUACUUGGUGUGAAUUGCAGAAUCCCGUGAACCAUCGAGUCUUUGAACGCAAGUUGCGCCCGAAGCCUUCUGGCCGAGGGCACGUCUGCCUGGGCGUCACGC